Schistosoma mansoni is the source of this 45-nucleotide non-coding RNA. NCBI's taxonomy places the organism in Eukaryota, Metazoa, Platyhelminthes, Trematoda, Strigeidida, Schistosomatidae. The record is from Rfam.
AUCCAACUGACGAGUCCCAAAUAGGACGAAACGUGCAUCCUGGAU